AUGGACUGCACCUGGAGGAUCCUCUUCUUGGUGGCAGCAGCUACAGGCACCCACGCCCAGGUCCAGCUGGUACAGUCUGGGGCUGAGGUGAAGAAGCCUGGGGCCUCAGUGAAGGUCUCCUGCAAGGUUUCCGGAUACACCCUCACUGAAUUAUCCAUGCACUGGGUGCGACAGGCUCCUGGAAAAGGGCUUGAGUGGAUGGGAGGUUUUGAUCCUGAAGAUGGUGAAACAAUCUACGCACAGAAGUUCCAGGGCAGAGUCACCAUGACCGAGGACACAUCUACAGACACAGCCUACAUGGAGCUGAGCAGCCUGAGAUCUGAGGACACGGCCGUGUAUUACUGUGCAACAGA
Molecule: non-coding RNA, 353 nt
Organism: Homo sapiens (human)
Lineage: Eukaryota; Metazoa; Chordata; Mammalia; Primates; Hominidae
Source: the annotation of a RefSeq genome assembly